CAGCUGUUUGCAGCACACAGACUAAAAUUGGAACGAUACGGAGAAGAUUAGCAUGGCCCCUGCGCAGGGAUGACAUGCAAACUCGUGACGCCUUCCAUAUUUUU
Small nuclear RNA from Sorex araneus (European shrew), 104 nucleotides. NCBI's taxonomy places the organism in Eukaryota, Metazoa, Chordata, Mammalia, Eulipotyphla, Soricidae. The record is from RefSeq and is a predicted model, not a curated record.